RNAcentral lists this ribosomal RNA (292 nucleotides) under uncultured bacterium. RNAcentral's name for it is "partial 16S ribosomal RNA". It matches the Rfam family "Bacterial small subunit ribosomal RNA", at positions 505 to 796 of the family's 1533-position model. The record is from RNAcentral.
GUGCCAGCAGCCGCGGUAAGACAGAGGCCUCGAGCGUUAGGCGGAAUCACUGGGCUUAAAGCGUGUGUAGGCGGAGGCGUAAGUACCUUGUGAAAUCCCACGGCUCAACCGUGGAACGGCUUGGUAUACUGCGUCUCUUGAGUCACUCAAGGGCGAGCGGAACAGAUGGUGGAGCGGUGAAAUGCGUAGAUAUCAUCUGGAACGCCAAUGGUGAAGACAGCUCGCUGGGGGUGUACUGACGCUGAGACACGAAAGCCAGGGGAGCGAACGGGAUUAGAUACCCUAGUAGUCC